Molecule: ribosomal RNA, 523 nt
Filed under: uncultured bacterium
Lineage: Bacteria
Description: bacterial SSU rRNA
Rfam family: Bacterial small subunit ribosomal RNA
Source: RNAcentral
AGAGUUUGAUCAUGGCUCAGGAUGAACGCUAGCGGCAGGCCUAAUACAUGCAAGCUGAACGGUAAAUAUUAUAGCAAUAUAGUAUGAGAGUGGCGUAAGGGUGCGUAACACGUAUGCAAUCUGCCCUGUACAGGAGGAUAGCUCGGGGAAACCCGGAUUAAUACUCCGUAAGAUUGAGAGGAGGCAUCUUUUUUCAAUUAAAGUCGCAAGAUGGUACAGGAUGAGCAUGCGUCUGAUUAGCUAGUUGGUAGUGUAACGGACUACCAAGGCGAUGAUCAGUAGGGGAACUGAGAGGUUGAUCCCCCACACUGGCACUGAGAUACGGGCCAGACUCCUACGGGAGGCAGCAGUAGGGAAUAUUGGUCAAUGGAUGCAAGUCUGAACCAGCCAUGCCGCGUGCAGGAAGAAGGCCUUCUGGGUUGUAAACUGCUUUUGCCGGGGGAUAAAAUUCCCAUGCGUGGGAAAUUGAAGGUACCCGGUGAAUAAGCCACGGCUAACUACGUGCCAGCCGCCGCGGUAAUAC